AAGUCGUAACAAGGUUUCCGUAGGUGAACCUGCGGAAGGAUCAUUAUUGAAAUCGGGGCAGCUCGGGUGCGCCCUGCGCCGGCGGAGACGCCGUGCCGCGGGCCCCCUUGCGCCUCUUCCACACCCACACCCCUGUGCACCUUUGGGAAGGCGGGCGCUCGUCGCCCGUCGGCCCGCUACACAAACUCUUGUAAUGUCUUAAGAAUGUAACGCGGCCUCCGAGCCGCUUAAAACAGUAACAACUUUCAACAACGGAUCUCUUGGCUCUC
Molecule: unclassified non-coding RNA, 269 nt
Filed under: air metagenome
Description: partial contains small subunit ribosomal RNA, internal transcribed spacer 1, and 5.8S ribosomal RNA
Rfam family: Eukaryotic small subunit ribosomal RNA (bases 1-46)
Source: RNAcentral